Molecule: ribosomal RNA, 526 nt
Filed under: uncultured Flavobacteriia bacterium
Lineage: Bacteria; Pseudomonadati; Bacteroidota; Flavobacteriia
Description: partial 16S ribosomal RNA
Source: RNAcentral
CACUUUCGCUUAGCCACUCAGAUCUCAAUUGAUCCGAACAGSUAGUAACCAUCGUUUACGGCGUAGACUACCAGGGUAUCUAAUCCUGUUCGCUACCUACGCUUUCGUCCAUCAGCGUCAGUGAAUUGUUAGUGAUCUGCCUUCGCAAUCGGUAUUCUGAGUAAUAUCUAUGCAUUUCACCGCUACACUACUCAUUCUAACCACUUCACAAGCACUCAAGAACAACAGUAUCAAUGGCAAUUCUACAGUUGAGCUGCAGACUUUCACCACUGACUUAUUGUCCCGCCUACGGACCCUUUAAACCCAAUGAUUCCGGAUAACGCUUGGAUCCUCCGUAUUACCGCGGCUGCUGGCACGGAGUUAGCCGAUCCUUAUUCUUACAGUACCGUCAACACCCGACACGUCGGGCUUUUUCUUCCUGUAUAAAAGCAGUUUACAACCCAUAGGGCAGUCUUCCUGCACGCGGCAUGGCUGGAUCAGGAUUGCUCCCAUUGUCCAAUAUUCCUCACUGCUGCCUCCCGUAGGC